Molecule: ribosomal RNA, 271 nt
Filed under: uncultured bacterium
Lineage: Bacteria
Description: partial 16S ribosomal RNA
Rfam family: Bacterial small subunit ribosomal RNA
Source: RNAcentral
GACAGAGGGGGCAAGCGUUGCUCGGAAUCACUGGGCGUAAAGGGCGCGUAGGCGGGAUGGCAAGUCGGUCGUGAAAUCCCUGGGCUCAACUCAGGGGGGUCGGCCGAUACUGCCGUUCUUGAGGGAUGCAGAGGAGACUGGAAUUCCCGGUGUAGCGGUGAAAUGUGUAGAGAUCGGGAGGAACACCGGUGGCGAAGGCGGGUCUCUGGGCAUUCCCUGACGCUGAGGCGCGAAAGCGUGGGGAGUAAACGGGAUUAGAAACCCCUGUAGU